Lycium ferocissimum is the source of this 330-nucleotide long non-coding RNA. RefSeq lists it as uncharacterized. The transcript has 3 exons. NCBI's taxonomy places the organism in Eukaryota, Viridiplantae, Streptophyta, Magnoliopsida, Solanales, Solanaceae. The record is from RefSeq and is a predicted model, not a curated record.
UUUUUCCUAGGGUUUCCAUUGAAGUUAUUGAGCUUAGGAGUUGCAUUUGAAGUUUGGUUCUUGGAAUUCCAGCCCCUUUAAGUGUUACAAGCUCGGGAAAUAAGCAUCGGACAUUAGGUAGACUCCAAGAUUCAGGUAGACAGAGAGACGAUCCAGCUCAGUAGGACUUCCUCUUAGCUGUUUGGUGCGCUUCACUUGAUCCGGAGCUGCGGUCCAUUUUGGUAGGCUAUUUUGAGAUGUACAUACAUGUAUAUGGGUAUGGCGGGGCCCUGUCCCAUCCUUUAUACAGCUUUCUGUUCCAUAAGAGGUCUGUAGGCAGUUGUAUCUAGU